RNAcentral lists this ribosomal RNA (436 nucleotides) under uncultured bacterium. RNAcentral's name for it is "bacterial SSU rRNA". It matches the Rfam family "Bacterial small subunit ribosomal RNA", at positions 84 to 518 of the family's 1533-position model. The record is from RNAcentral.
CUUGAUGGCGACCGGCGCACGGUGAGUAACACGUAUGCAACCUACCUACAUCAGGGGAAUAACCGGAGAAAUUACGGACUAAUACCGCAUAAUACAGGGAUGCCGCAUGGCAAUAUUUGUUAAAGAUUUAUCGGAUGUAGAUGGGCAUGCGUUCCAUUAGCUGGUUGGUAAGGUAACGGCUUACCAAGGCAACGAUGGAUAGGGGAACUGAGAGGUUUGUCCCCACACUGGAACUGAGACACGGACCAGACUCCUACGGGAGGCAGCAGUGAGGAAUAUUGGUCAAUGGACGAGAGUCUGAACCAGCCAAAUCGCGUGAAGGAAGGCCUGCCCUACGGGUUGUAAACUUCUUUUGUACAGGAAUAAAAGACAUUACGUGUAAUGUAUUGCAUGUACUGUACGAAUAAGCAUCGGCUAACUCCGUGCCAGCAGCUGC